GAUGAACGCUAGCUAUAGGCUUAACACAUGCAAGUCGAGGGGAAACGGCAUUAUGUGCUUGCACAUUUUGGACGUCGACCGGCGCACGGGUGAGUAUCGCGUAUCCAACCUGCCCUUUACUUGGGGAUACCCCGUUGAAAGACGGCCUAAUACCCGAUGUAAUUCAUUGAUGGCAUCAGAUAUGAAUAAAAGAUUUAUCGGUAAAGGAUGGGGAUGCGUCUGAUUAGCUUGUUGGUGAGGUAAAGGCUCACCAAGGCGACGAUCAGUAGGGGUUCUGAGAGGAAGGUCCCCCACAUUGGAACUGAGACACGGUCCAAACUCCUACGGGAGGCAGCAGUGAGGAAUAUUGGUCAAUGGACGGAAGUCUGAACCAGCCAAGUAGCGUGCAGGAAGACGGCCCUAUGGGUUGUAAACUGCUUUUAUACGAGAAUAAUUUGAUGCACGUGUGCGUUAUUGCAUGUAUCGUAUGAAUAAGGACCGGCUAAUUCCGUGCCAGCAGCCGCGGUAAUACGGAAGGUCCAGGCGUUAUCCGGAUUUAUUGGGUUUAAAGGGAGUGUAGGCGGUUUGUUAAGCGUGUUGUGAAAUUUAGAUGCUCAACAUUUAACUUGCAGCGCGAACUGUCAGACUUGAGUACACGCAACGUAUGCGGAAUUCAUGGUGUAGUGGUGAAAUGCUUAGAUAUCAUGAAGAACUCCGAUUGCGAAGGCAGCAUACGGGAGUGUAACUGACGCUUAAGCUCGAAGGUGCGGGUAUCGAACAGG
Molecule: ribosomal RNA, 761 nt
Filed under: uncultured Prevotella sp.
Lineage: Bacteria; Pseudomonadati; Bacteroidota; Bacteroidia; Bacteroidales; Prevotellaceae
Description: bacterial SSU rRNA
Rfam family: Bacterial small subunit ribosomal RNA
Source: RNAcentral